UUAUGAUUGUUUGGCUCAACUAUAAC
This 26-nucleotide non-coding RNA is filed under the name Cricetulus griseus (Chinese hamster). The record is from RNAcentral. Lineage: Eukaryota; Metazoa; Chordata; Mammalia; Rodentia; Cricetidae.